This 86-nucleotide transfer RNA is filed under the name Amanita muscaria Koide BX008. It matches the Rfam family "tRNA". From Rfam's summary of the family: Transfer RNA (tRNA) molecules are approximately 80 nucleotides in length. Lineage: Eukaryota; Fungi; Basidiomycota; Agaricomycetes; Agaricales; Amanitaceae. The record is from Rfam by way of RNAcentral.
UCCGAUAUGGUGUAACGGCUAACAUUGCCGCCUUUCAUAGAAGAAUCUGAUCGCGGCAGCUCGGGGUUCGAUUCCCCGUAUCGGAA